Molecule: ribosomal RNA, 460 nt
Filed under: uncultured bacterium
Lineage: Bacteria
Description: partial 16S ribosomal RNA
Rfam family: Bacterial small subunit ribosomal RNA
Source: RNAcentral
CCUACGGGCGGCAGCAGUGAGGAAUAUUGGUCAAUGGGCGGAAGCCUGAACCAGCCAAGUCGCGUGAGGGAUUAAGGCCCUGCGGGUCGUAAACCUCUUUUGCCGGGGAGCAGAGGUCCGGACGUGUCCGGGCCGGGAGAGUACCCGGAGAAAAAGCAUCGGCUAACUACGUGCCAGCAGCCGCGGUAAUACGGAGGAUGCGAGCGUUAUCCGGAUUUAUUGGGUUUAAAGGGUGCGUAGGCGGGCAUUUAAGCCGGCGGUCAAAUGUCGGGGCUCAACCCCGGCCUGCCGUCGGAACUGGGUGCCUUGAGUGGGCGAGAAGUAGGCGGAAUGCGUGGGGUAGCGGUGAAAUGCAUAGAUAUCACGCAGAACCCCGAUUGCGAAGGCAGCAUACCGGCGCCCUACUGACGCUGAGGCACGAAAGUGCGGGUAUCGAACAGGAUUAGAUACCCCAGUAGUC